RNAcentral lists this microRNA (20 nucleotides) under Gallus gallus (chicken). RNAcentral describes it as "gga-miR-1621-3p". Lineage: Eukaryota; Metazoa; Chordata; Aves; Galliformes; Phasianidae. The record is from miRBase by way of RNAcentral.
GGUUCGCCGUGCCGCCGCGC